RNAcentral lists this ribosomal RNA (1486 nucleotides) under Salmonella enterica subsp. enterica serovar Weltevreden. RNAcentral describes it as "bacterial SSU rRNA". It matches the Rfam family "Bacterial small subunit ribosomal RNA". The record is from RNAcentral. Lineage: Bacteria; Pseudomonadati; Pseudomonadota; Gammaproteobacteria; Enterobacterales; Enterobacteriaceae.
AGAGUUUGAUCAUGGCUCAGAUUGAACGCUGGCGGCAGGCCUAACACAUGCAAGUCGAACGGUAACAGGAAGCAGCUUGCUGCUUCGCUGACGAGUGGCGGACGGGUGAGUAAUGUCUGGGAAACUGCCUGAUGGAGGGGGAUAACUACUGGAAACGGUGGCUAAUACCGCAUAACGUCGCAAGACCAAAGAGGGGGACCUUCGGGCCUCUUGCCAUCAGAUGUGCCCAGAUGGGAUUAGCUUGUUGGUGAGGUAACGGCUCACCAAGGCGACGAUCCCUAGCUGGUCUGAGAGGAUGACCAGCCACACUGGAACUGAGACACGGUCCAGACUCCUACGGGAGGCAGCAGUGGGGAAUAUUGCACAAUGGGCGCAAGCCUGAUGCAGCCAUGCCGCGUGUAUGAAGAAGGCCUUCGGGUUGUAAAGUACUUUCAGCGGGGAGGAAGGUGUUGUGGUUAAUAACCACAGCAAUUGACGUUACCCGCAGAAGAAGCACCGGCUAACUCCGUGCCAGCAGCCGCGGUAAUACGGAGGGUGCAAGCGUUAAUCGGAAUUACUGGGCGUAAAGCGCACGCAGGCGGUCUGUCAAGUCGGAUGUGAAAUCCCCGGGCUCAACCUGGGAACUGCAUUCGAAACUGGCAGGCUUGAGUCUUGUAGAGGGGGGUAGAAUUCCAGGUGUAGCGGUGAAAUGCGUAGAGAUCUGGAGGAAUACCGGUGGCGAAGGCGGCCCCCUGGACAAAGACUGACGCUCAGGUGCGAAAGCGUGGGGAGCAAACAGGAUUAGAUACCCUGGUAGUCCACGCCGUAAACGAUGUCUACUUGGAGGUUGUGCCCUUGAGGCGUGGCUUCCGGAGCUAACGCGUUAAGUAGACCGCCUGGGGAGUACGGCCGCAAGGUUAAAACUCAAAUGAAUUGACGGGGGCCCGCACAAGCGGUGGAGCAUGUGGUUUAAUUCGAUGCAACGCGAAGAACCUUACCUGGUCUUGACAUCCACNGUGAGACAGGUGCUGCAUGGCUGUCGUCAGCUCGUGUUGUGAAAUGUUGGGUUAAGUCCCGCAACGAGCGCAACCCUUAUCCUUUGUUGCCAGCGGUCCGGCCGGGAACUCAAAGGAGACUGCCAGUGAUAAACUGGAGGAAGGUGGGGAUGACGUCAAGUCAUCAUGGCCCUUACGACCAGGGCUACACACGUGCUACAAUGGCGCAUACAAAGAGAAGCGACCUCGCGAGAGCAAGCGGACCUCAUAAAGUGCGUCGUAGUCCGGAUUGGAGUCUGCAACUCGACUCCAUGAAGUCGGAAUCGCUAGUAAUCGUGGAUCAGAAUGCCACGGUGAAUACGUUCCCGGGCCUUGUACACACCGCCCGUCACACCAUGGGAGUGGGUUGCAAAAGAAGUAGGUAGCUUAACCUUCGGGAGGGCGCUUACCACUUUGUGAUUCAUGACUGGGGUGAAGUCGUAACAAGGUAACCGUAGGGGAACCUGCGGUUG